GUGUCAGCAGCCGCGGUAAAACGUAGGAUCCGAGCGUUAUCCGAAUUUACUGGGCGUAAAGCGCGUGUAGGCGGUUCGAUAAGUUGGAUGUGAAAUCUCCUGGCUCAACUGGGAGAGGUCGUUCAAUACUGUCGGACUAGAGGGUGGUAGAGGGAGGUGGAAUUCCCGGUGUAGUGGUGAAAUGCGUAGAUAUCGGGAGGAACACCUGUGGCGAAAGCGGCCUCCUGGCCCACUCCUGACGCUCAGACGCGAAAGCUAGGGGAGCGAACGGGAUUAGAUACCCUUGUAGUCC
RNAcentral lists this ribosomal RNA (292 nucleotides) under uncultured bacterium. RNAcentral's name for it is "partial 16S ribosomal RNA". It matches the Rfam family "Bacterial small subunit ribosomal RNA", at positions 505 to 796 of the family's 1533-position model. The record is from RNAcentral.